AUUGAACGCUGGCGGCAGGCCUAACACAUGCAAGUCGAACGGUAACAGGAAGCAGCUUGCUGCUUUGCUGACGAGUGGCGGACGGGUGAGUAAUGUCUAGGAAACUGCCCGAUGGAGGGGGAUAACUACUGGAAACGGUAGCUAAUACCGCAUAACGUCGCAAGACCAAAGAGGGGGACCUUAGGGCCUCUUGCCAUCGGAUGUGCCCAGAUGGGAUUAGCUAGUAGGUGGGGUAACGGCUCACCUAGGCGACGAUCCCUAGCUGGUCUGAGAGGAUGACCAGCCACACUGGAACUGAGACACGGUCCAGACUCCUACGGGAGGCAGCAGUGGGGAAUAUUGCACAAUGGGCGCAAGCCUGAUGCAGCCAUGCCGCGUGUAUGAAGAAGGCCUUCGGGUUGUAAAGUACUUUCAGCGGGGAGGAAGGGAGUAAAGUUAAUACCUUUGCUCAUUGACGUUACCCGCAGAAGAAGCACCGGCUAACUCCGUG
This 490-nucleotide ribosomal RNA is filed under the name uncultured bacterium. Its description in RNAcentral is "partial 16S ribosomal RNA". It matches the Rfam family "Bacterial small subunit ribosomal RNA", at positions 30 to 507 of the family's 1533-position model. The record is from RNAcentral.